Molecule: ribosomal RNA, 253 nt
Filed under: uncultured bacterium
Lineage: Bacteria
Description: partial 16S ribosomal RNA
Rfam family: Bacterial small subunit ribosomal RNA
Source: RNAcentral
UACGAGUGCCCCAAGCGUUAUCCGGAAUCAUUGGGCGUAAAGGGUGUGUAGGCGGUUUGGUUAGUCUUCUGUCAAAUUCACGGGCUCAACCCGAAGUUCGCAGAGGAAACGGCCAGACUCGAGAGUGCGAGAGGUGAAUGGAACUCAUGGAGUAGGGGUGAAAUCCGUUGAUAUCAUGGGGAACACCAAAAGCGAAGGCAAUUCACUGGCGCAUUUCUGACGCUGAAACACGAAAGCGUGGGUAGCGAACGGG